RNAcentral lists this ribosomal RNA (238 nucleotides) under uncultured bacterium. RNAcentral's name for it is "partial 16S ribosomal RNA". It matches the Rfam family "Bacterial small subunit ribosomal RNA", at positions 118 to 354 of the family's 1533-position model. The record is from RNAcentral.
UGAGCAAUCUGCCCUUCUCAUCGGAAUAAGCGUUGGAAACGACGUCUAAUGCCGAAUACGACCUCCUUUCGCACGAUCGGAGGUGGAAAGCUCCGGCGGAGAAGGAUGAGCUCGCGGCCUAUCAGCUAGUUGGUGUGGGUAACGGCCCACCAAGGCGACGACGGGUAGCCGGCCUGAGAGGGUGACCGGCCACACUGGGACUGAGACACGGCCCAGACUCCUACGGGGAGGCAGCAGG